GUGCCUACUUGGGCAGCACAUAUACUAAAAUUGGAACAACCGAGAAAAGAUUAGCAUGGCCCCUGUGCAAAGAUGGCAUGAGAAUUUGUGAAACACUCCAUAUUUUU
This is a small nuclear RNA of Ictidomys tridecemlineatus (thirteen-lined ground squirrel), 107 nucleotides long. Lineage: Eukaryota; Metazoa; Chordata; Mammalia; Rodentia; Sciuridae. The record is from Ensembl.